AAGCUGCAAAGAGUGUGUUAUGGGGUAUUUGUACUCUGUGUGAAGAUAUAGUGCUGUGAUUGAUUUAAUAAAGAGCUCAAUGGCCAAUAUCUAGGCAGGAGGUAUAG
Non-coding RNA from Peromyscus maniculatus bairdii (prairie deer mouse), 107 nucleotides. The record is from RefSeq and is a predicted model, not a curated record. Lineage: Eukaryota; Metazoa; Chordata; Mammalia; Rodentia; Cricetidae.